Molecule: ribosomal RNA, 539 nt
Filed under: uncultured Glomeromycotina
Lineage: Eukaryota; Fungi; Glomeromycota
Description: SSU rRNA
Rfam family: Eukaryotic small subunit ribosomal RNA
Source: RNAcentral
AGCAGCCGCGGUAAUUCCAGCUCCAAUAGCGUAUAUUAAAGUUGUUGCAGUUAAAAGCUCGUAGUUGAAUUUUGGGUCUGGCCGGGCGGUCCGCCCUCCGGGUGAGCACUGUUCCGACGCCGGGCCUAUCCUUCUGGUGAGUCGGCAUGUCCUUUACUGGGUGUGUCGGGGAACCAGGACCAUUACCUUGAAAAAUUAGAGUGUUCAAAGCAGGCGUAUGCUCGGAUACAUUAGCAUGGAAUAAUGAAAUAGGACGUUCGAUCCUAUUUUGUUGGUUUCUAGGAUUGACGUAAUGAUUAAUAGGGAUAGUUGGGGGCAUUAGUAUUCAAUUGUCAGAGGUGAAAUUCUUGGAUUUAUUGAAGACUAACUACUGCGAAAGCAUUUGCCAAGGAUGUUUUCAUUAAUCAAGAACGAAAGUUAGGGGAUCGAAGACGAUCAGAUACCGUCGUAGUCUUAACCAUAAACUAUGCCGACUAGGGAUCGGAUGAUGUUAAUUUUUUAAUGACUCAUUCGGCGCCUUACGGGAAACCAAAGUGUUU